Molecule: ribosomal RNA, 497 nt
Filed under: uncultured bacterium
Lineage: Bacteria
Description: partial 16S ribosomal RNA
Rfam family: Bacterial small subunit ribosomal RNA
Source: RNAcentral
GAUGAACGCUGGCGGCGUGCCUAAUACAUGCAAGUCGAGCGAACGGACGAGAAGCUUGCUUCUCUGAUGUUAGCGGCGGACGGGUGAGUAACACGUGGAUAACCUACCUAUAAGACUGGGAUAACUUCGGGAAACCGGAGCUAGUACCGGAUGAUAUUUUGAACCGCAUGGUUCAAAAGUGAAAGACGGUCUUGCUGUCACUUAUAGAUGGAUCCGCGCUGCAUUAGCUAGUUGGUAAGGUAACGGCUUACCAAGGCAACGAUGCAUAGCCGACCUGAGAGGGUGAUCGGCCACACUGGAACUGAGACACGGUCCAGACUCCUACGGGAGGCAGCAGUAGGGAAUCUUCCACAAUGGGCGAAAGCCUGACGGAGCAACGCCGCGUGAGUGAUGAAGGUCUUCGGAUCGUAAAACUCUGUUAUUAGGGAAGAACAUAUGUGUAAGUAACUGUGCACAUCUUGACGGUACCUAAUCAGAAAGCCACGGCUAACUACGUG